Mus musculus (house mouse) is the source of this 73-nucleotide non-coding RNA. NCBI's taxonomy places the organism in Eukaryota, Metazoa, Chordata, Mammalia, Rodentia, Muridae. The record is from Rfam.
UUGAGACAAAGUUCUGAGACACUCCGACUCUGAGUAUGAUAGAAGUCAGUGCACUACAGAACUUUGUCUCUAG